UCGCACCUACCGAUUGAAUGGUCCGGUGAAAUCUUCGGACCGAGACUUUGAUUUGUUUACUCAAAACGCUGUUUCGGGAAGUUGAUUAAACCUUACCAUUUAGAGGAAGGUG
RNAcentral lists this ribosomal RNA (112 nucleotides) under uncultured eukaryote. RNAcentral describes it as "partial small subunit ribosomal RNA". It matches the Rfam family "Eukaryotic small subunit ribosomal RNA", at positions 1676 to 1785 of the family's 1831-position model. The record is from RNAcentral.